AGGAUAAUAGUUAAAUUUAACAUUUAAAUUGCAAUUAAAAAAUAUUGAUUAAUCAAUUUAUCUUA
RNAcentral lists this transfer RNA (65 nucleotides) under Theopea aeneipennis. RNAcentral describes it as "tRNA-Ala". The record is from RNAcentral. Lineage: Eukaryota; Metazoa; Arthropoda; Insecta; Coleoptera; Chrysomelidae.